This 252-nucleotide ribosomal RNA is filed under the name uncultured bacterium. RNAcentral describes it as "partial 16S ribosomal RNA". It matches the Rfam family "Bacterial small subunit ribosomal RNA", at positions 524 to 776 of the family's 1533-position model. The record is from RNAcentral.
UACGUAGGUCCCAAGCGUUGUCCGGAUCUAUUGGGCGUAAAGCGAGCGCAGGUGGUUUAUUAAGUCUGGUGUAAAAGGCAGUGGCUCAACCAUUGUAUGCAUUGGAAACUGGUAGACUUGAGUGCAGGAGAGGAGAGUGGAAUUCCAUGUGUAGCGGUGAAAUGCGUAGAUAUAUGGAGGAACACCGGUGGCGAAAGCGGCUCUCUGGCCUGUAACUGACACUGAGGCUUGAAAGCGUGGGGAGCAAACAGG